RNAcentral lists this unclassified non-coding RNA (660 nucleotides) under Hevea brasiliensis (rubber tree). The record is from RNAcentral. Lineage: Eukaryota; Viridiplantae; Streptophyta; Magnoliopsida; Malpighiales; Euphorbiaceae.
GUAGAGAUCCAACAUGCAAAUGCUGAGCAGUGUGAAGAACAAUCCAAGGAUGUAAAUAUCCCGUAUAAGAAAGAAGGACUGACAAAUUUGGGCAAGCAGAUUUGUACAGAGGUUAAAACUCCCGCUACAAAAUAUCCAGGUUCAGGUGGUAAGCCCAAAAACAACACAUCAAAUGGCAGUAGAUCACCACAUAUGAAGAAGAACACACCUAAAAACAUCGAUGGAACAGGUUCAUCGACACCAGUGAAAACAGACGUGAAGGUUCACAAAGAUAGUAUUCGUGAAGAACAUAUUGGUGCUGCUAAGAGAAUAUUUGCCAAUGCUCUAGGAUUUGCAAGAGAAGGGAAUCCGAAAUAAGGAACAUAAUGUAUUCUUCUUGAAAUGCUUGAAGACUAGCCCAGCCACACAUAACCAUAGAAGUAAACGAAUGAUCUCGAGCACUUUAUGAUUGUCUUGUGAAACCUGUGCCCAUGAGGAAACUGAACGGUUGUAAUUUUGUACCAGCCCUUUGAUAGCUGCAUCGCAUGAGUACAGCAAGGAACUGUUGGAAUAUAGAAUUGAAAGCUACUGAAUCCAAGUUAUCGACAAGCUUGAGGUUGUAAAGUUUGUCACACUGGCCUAGUUUGUCUGCAUCAUCCUAUGUAGCCAGGGGCGGAGCUA